RNAcentral lists this ribosomal RNA (874 nucleotides) under Halococcus sp. RNAcentral's name for it is "bacterial SSU rRNA". It matches the Rfam family "Archaeal small subunit ribosomal RNA", at positions 28 to 903 of the family's 1478-position model. The record is from RNAcentral. Lineage: Archaea; Methanobacteriati; Methanobacteriota; Halobacteria; Halobacteriales; Halococcaceae.
GGCUAUCGGGGUCCGAUUCAGCCAUGCUAGUUGUACGGGUUUAGACCCGUAGCAAAUAGCUCCGUAACACGUGGUCAAACUACCCUCUGGACCGGAAUACCCUCGGGAAACUGAGGCUAAUCCCGGAUACUGCUUUCAUGUUGGAACACAGAAAGUCGGAAACGGUCCGCCGCCGGAGGACGUGACUGCGGCCGAUUAGGUAGACGGUGGGGUAACGGCCCACCGUGCCGAUAAUCGGUACGGGUUGUGAGAGCAAGAACCCGGAGACGGUAUCUGAGACAAGAUACCGGGCCCUACGGGGCGCAGCAGGCGCGAAACCUUUACACUGCACGCCAGUGCGAUAAGGGGACCCCGAGUGCGAGGGCAUACAGUCCUCGCUUUUCGUGACCGUAAGAAGGUCUCAGAAUAAGAGCUGGGCAAGACCGGUGCCAGCCGCCGCGGUAAUACCGGCAGCUCGAGUGAUAGCCACUAUUAUUGGGCCUAAAGCGUCCGUAGCCGGCCGAACAGGUCCGUCGGGAAAUCCACCCGCUCAACGGGUGGACGUCCGGCGGAAACCAGUCGGCUUGGGGCCGGGAGACCAGAGAGGUACGUCCGGGGUAGGAGUGAAAUCCUGUAAUCCUGGACGGACCGCCGGUAGCGAAAGCGUCUCUGGAGAACGGACCCGACGGUGAGGGACGAAAGCUUGGGUCUCGAACCGGAUUAGAUACCCGGGUAGUCCAAGCUGUAAACGAUGCUCGCUAGGUGUGGCGUUGGCUACGAGCCAGCGCUGUGCCGUAGGGAAGCCGAGAAGCGAGCCGCCUGGGAAGUACGUCCGCAAGGAUGAAACUUAAAGGAAUGGCGGGGGAGCACUACAACCGAGAGGAGCCUGCGGUUA